This 220-nucleotide ribosomal RNA is filed under the name uncultured eukaryote. Its description in RNAcentral is "partial 26S ribosomal RNA". It matches the Rfam family "Eukaryotic large subunit ribosomal RNA", at positions 24 to 226 of the family's 3401-position model. The record is from RNAcentral.
CCGCCCGCCGCGCGNGGCGGGCGGGGCGGGGGCAUAUCAAUAAGCGGAGGAAAAUAAACUUACAAGGAUUCCCCUAGUAACGGCGAGCGAACCGGGACCAGCCCAGCUUGAGAAUCGGGUGGCUUCGUCACCUGAAUUGUAGUCUGGAGAGGCGUCCUCAGCGACGGACCGGGCNUUUNUUCCCUGGAANANGACGCCUGGGAGNGUGAGAGCCCCGUCC